This 376-nucleotide ribosomal RNA is filed under the name uncultured organism. RNAcentral's name for it is "bacterial SSU rRNA". It matches the Rfam family "Bacterial small subunit ribosomal RNA", at positions 526 to 896 of the family's 1533-position model. The record is from RNAcentral.
CGGUAGGGGCAAGCGUUGUCCGGAUUUAUUGGGCGUAAAGAGCGUGUAGGCGGCCAGGUAGGUCAGCUGUAGAAAACUCGAGGCUCAACCUCGAGACGCCGGUUGAAACCAUCUGGCUAGAGUCCGGAAGAGGAGAGUGGAAAUUCCUGGUGUAGCGGUGAAAUGCGCAGAUAUCAGGAAGAACACCCGUGGCUAAGGCGGCUCUCUAGUACGGUACUGACGCUGAGACGCGAAAGCGUGGGGAGCGAACAGGAUUAGACUACCCUGGUAGUCCACGCCGUAAACGAGUGGGUGCUAGGUGUGGGGGGUGUCGACUCCCUCCGUGCCGCAGCUAACGCAUUAAGCACCCCGCCUGGGGAGUACGGCCGCAAGGCUA